This is a long non-coding RNA of Scylla paramamosain (green mud crab), 865 nucleotides long. RefSeq lists it as uncharacterized. The record is from RefSeq and is a predicted model, not a curated record. Lineage: Eukaryota; Metazoa; Arthropoda; Malacostraca; Decapoda; Portunidae. The transcript has 2 exons.
UGCUAGGACAGUAAAGCAUGGAACUUUGUGAUAAUUCUUACUGCAGAUUUGAUUUGAUGAAGAACAGGAAUUCAGUUUGUAGAUCUCGUAAACUUUCCCUCCCGAAGUGUUGUGGAUGCACGUGCAGUAAUAACACUCUGGUAUUGACUCGGCGUGAACAUUUCCAUGCACAAUACCACUGGUUCACCGUGUGGAGGACAGGCAUGGGCUGGGAGGGCGGCUGUUCUUGACAUUACUGCCGCCCAUCGACAACUGGAAAAUGGAGGUUUGAAGGGAUGUGGGACGGAGCGGGUGGUGCGUGAGGCCUGGCCACCAUCCUGCGGGGUAGCGUGGGCCCAGAGGAGGGGCAGGCCUGCAGACUAACGUGGGCCAGAGGAGUGGGGCUGGCCUGCAGGAUGGCUCUCCGUUUGAACCGUGGAACUUCACCCUACUCAUUUCACGCGCCGAAUCACUUAAAGCCACCUCCUUGUUGUCCCUUACACCAUAGCUUUGUUUUGAGAGGAGUGCGCUGCGCGAUACGGCCCCACGUCCUGAAAUUGAAUUAUACUACGAGAACCAGACGGCUUGCAUAUCAUAUCAUAUAAUAUAAUGUGUGUGUGUGUGUGUUGUGGACCAUGUGAGAGGUCUGAUGCUCAGUUAGUGUGUGGGUGGAAACAUCGACUGUCCACUCUUGAUGGUCUUUCUAUGUCUUUCUCGUGUAACGUUUUUUAGUCACAGCGCCACACCAUGUAACAAGAAGCGCUCCCCACUCUGGCGUCACGGGGAUGGCCACCCCAGCUCGUGCUGCGGGUCUCAAGAUGCGGCCGAUGCUGGGGAACAGCGCUUUUCCUUGUUUUUUUCUUCUAAAAUGAUUACAACAGUCACA